UACACACCGCCCGUCACACCACGAGAGUUUGUAACACCCGAAGCCGGUGGAGUAACCAUUUAUGGAGCUAGCCGUCGAAGGUGGGACAAAUGAUUGGGGUGAAGUCGUAACAAGGUAGCCGUAUCGGAAGGUGCGGCUGGAUCACCUCCUUU
Molecule: ribosomal RNA, 152 nt
Filed under: Staphylococcus warneri
Lineage: Bacteria; Bacillati; Bacillota; Bacilli; Caryophanales; Staphylococcaceae
Description: partial 16S ribosomal RNA
Rfam family: Bacterial small subunit ribosomal RNA
Source: RNAcentral